RNAcentral lists this ribosomal RNA (254 nucleotides) under uncultured bacterium. RNAcentral describes it as "partial 16S ribosomal RNA". It matches the Rfam family "Bacterial small subunit ribosomal RNA", at positions 524 to 776 of the family's 1533-position model. The record is from RNAcentral.
UACGGGGGGAGCAAGCGUUGUUCGGAUUUACUGGGCGUAAAGGGCGCGUAGGCGGCCAGCACAAGUCGGCUGUGAAAUCUCCGGGCUUAACUCGGAAAGGUCAACCGAUACUGUGGGGCUAGAGUCCGGAAGAGGCGAGUGGAAUUCCUGGUGUAGCGGUGGAAUGCGCAGAUAUCAGGAGGAACACCAAUAGCGAAGGCAGCUCGCUGGGACGGUACUGACGCUAAGGCGCGAAAGCGUGGGGAGCGAACAGG